Long non-coding RNA from Alnus glutinosa, 308 nucleotides. RefSeq lists it as uncharacterized. Lineage: Eukaryota; Viridiplantae; Streptophyta; Magnoliopsida; Fagales; Betulaceae. The transcript is spliced from 2 exons. The record is from RefSeq and is a predicted model, not a curated record.
UUUGCUCUAUGCUUGUCCUCUUUUCUCUUCUGGUUUCGGUGACAUCAAGGAGAACAGAAGCUCUCCUCUUCUUUCUUCUCUUCUGUUUAAUCUCUCUUUGGUGGGUGAAUGCAUAAUCAAGGAUGAAUCCUCUCUUUUGGAUGACACAAUAAGACGAAGUUAUUUCUUGUAAAGGUGUAGACCUCUCUAAGAGAAAUUGAUCGUUGUGGACCGACCAUUGUAUAGUGUAUAUCCCUUUUAUGAAGUUUAUGGCUUUGUUAUUAAUUAAUUAUAGGUUAUAAUAAUAAAAUAGGAAUUUACAAUCUCUA